AACAUAGAUAUUUGUUACAGGUUAGUGCUGUGAGUCCUCCAGUGCCACCUACUGUGUUCAGAUGUAAACAGUACUUCCAUUGUUAGAAAAUGCCAAAGAAUCUGGUAACGGCGAGACGUAAUUGAUCCUGCCGGCUGGAUGAUAAGUCGAAGGCUUUUAAAGAGCUAGUGCCGUAUGUGGCGUGGUGGUGAGCGCGUUGGAUGGCCGCACCUAUGCCGCAGCAGGGCAGGAUCGACGACCGCCGGAGCAUCGCCAGGUGACCUCGGGGCACUGUCGCCCCGCUUUAUGUCAUAACAAAAGUUGCUGCUGAAGAGGAGUGGACUGCGGGGCGUGAGAUAGCCAGGCCGCGCAGCUGCCACUAGGCCCGCCGCC
Long non-coding RNA from Papilio polytes (common Mormon), 372 nucleotides. RefSeq lists it as uncharacterized. The transcript is spliced from 4 exons. The record is from RefSeq and is a predicted model, not a curated record. NCBI's taxonomy places the organism in Eukaryota, Metazoa, Arthropoda, Insecta, Lepidoptera, Papilionidae.